UAGGCCCAGUGCUCUGCAACAAACACCCAGGGCAGCCAUAAAGAAGAAACCAGUGCUUGGUGUCAGAAAGGUUGAGGACCUCUGCGUCCAAGCUGUCUGAGUGGAGAAGCUCUGCCCUCUGCCGCACGAUGGCCCAGCUGCCUCUGAACUGGAGCUCUGGGACCAGGUGCAGCAAUGUUGGGGCCUUCGGUCCCUGGACACACGGACCUCACUGGAGACUCCUGACUGCCAGGUGGGUCCAUCCCCUCUGCCGGAAGCAGC
This is a long non-coding RNA of Bos taurus (domestic cattle), 261 nucleotides long. NCBI's taxonomy places the organism in Eukaryota, Metazoa, Chordata, Mammalia, Artiodactyla, Bovidae. The record is from Ensembl.